This 1126-nucleotide long non-coding RNA is filed under the name Equus caballus (horse). RNAcentral's name for it is "lncRNA (ENSECAG00000046538.1)". Lineage: Eukaryota; Metazoa; Chordata; Mammalia; Perissodactyla; Equidae. The record is from RNAcentral.
CCCUCACUCAUGCACUGUGACAGAAAACAGUAAGAGAGGCACCAGGAAGAGAAAAUGUGUCAAAUUCCCCCAGCCUCCUAGAGAAGGAAGACUGUCACUAUUGAUAAUAGCAUGUUUUACAAUGUGAUUCAUUUGGGAAAAGUUUAAAAUGAAAAAACUCUGUGUCAGGACUAGAAAUACGAUGAUGCACACACUCCCAGCCUUCGUGGAGCUCACAGUUGGCUGAUGGAGAACAACAUUAAACAAGCAAUAACAGUAAAGUAAGAGAAAAGAGAAGAUACUGCAUCCAAGAAAAAAGAACAGACUCAAACAGAAAAGGAAUAUUCAAAAGCCAAAAUGGAAUUCUUAGAAAUUAAAAACAACAGAAAUGAGAAACUCAACAGUAAAUCUCUCAGAAAGUCAAGCAAAAAGACAAAGAGAUAGAAAAAUUGGAGGGAAAAUAGCAAGCCAAAUUAGAAGACUAGUCCAAGAAUUCGAAUAUCUAAGUAAUAGGAGUUCCAGAGAGAGGGAGAGAAAAAAACAAAAACAAAAACAGAAAACGGAAAACAGAAAAGAGGUAAUCACAAAUGAAAUUACCGUACUCGCUCCUAAUCCGUGAAGGUACGUUCCAAGACCCCAGUGGAUGUCUGAAACCACAGAUCAUGGUCCUCCGAGAAGCAGACACCAAAACAGAAUUUGAUGUGCAAGAAAUUUACUGGGGAAAAUGCCUAUGAAAGAUAAAGGAGGAAGAAGCAGGAGUGGAUGGGGAGAGCCUUCACACAAACGAGGUGAGGCAGGUCUGACUCAUGUGAAAGGAGAGCAGGAAGGAAGAAUAUCAGCCUGCAGGGCAGUUUGGAGAAAGUCUCCUCCAGGUCCAGAAAGAACCUCCGAAGCCUGCAUGGCCUGUCGGAGGAGUCCCACAAGACUCACAAUAUUGACCUGUUCAGUGAUGUUGAGGGAAGACUGGCCAUAAAAAUUCAGAUCAUGGCCUGGGAAGUCCUAUCAUAACACCCGGAAGGAAGACAAACUGAGACAAACAACAUGCCCAGUGGUGCAGUUUCUGUGUGCUUUUAAACACCUGCAUGAAGAAAUCUUGUGUGCUGACUGUCUUCACUAGGAACCUGAAAUGACAGUUCUAUCUUAAAUG